Long non-coding RNA from Brassica napus (rape), 1663 nucleotides. RefSeq lists it as uncharacterized. Lineage: Eukaryota; Viridiplantae; Streptophyta; Magnoliopsida; Brassicales; Brassicaceae. The transcript is spliced from 3 exons. The record is from RefSeq and is a predicted model, not a curated record.
AACAACUUCGCAAACUUGGCUGACAUUCCCCUCUACCAACCUCAUUUCUUAGCAUAUAUAAAAUUGUAGGCUUUACCUUGGGGGUAUCGAUCACAUGAUAUAAGGACUUUCAAACAAGUAUUUGGAGCUGCAUGUAAACAGUAUUUCCUAUCCUCUCUCUCUACUAAUUUUCUCUCUUAAUCAAAGUCUGCUUAUAUUAGCAAGAUAAUUGACCAAUAUUGGACAGGCUUCCAUGAAUCAAGCCUUAAUGGUGGUUGCCACCAAGUCCUGUUCACUUCUUUUUGAUCUAUAUCCUAGGAUUAUUUGUGAAGCAAGCUUUAAUGGUUGUAGCCACAAAGUCAUGUUCGAAUUCCUUCCUAAUAAAUCUCUAAUAGAUAUAUAUAAGAGAACUUACCUAUAAUGACUCUAAUAAUACAUGUAAUGACUAGACUAGAUCAUAAACUUUGCUAAUUACUAGACUAGAUCAUACAGGUAAUGAAAAUACAAUAAUGCCACUACAUAUUAUUAAGAUCCCUAUUAUUAAUAGAAAAUUGUAAAAUAUUUUCUAAAAAAAAGUCCUUUUGUCGUGUCUUUGUCGAGUCGUCUUCUUCAAAGGGACAAUCCCAAAAUUGCCUUCGUCAUCUCUUUCACCUACAUCUCCGACUACUGCAUCUCUGUCCAGCCGCCUUCCUUUUCGUCACCUCGUACUGGAGGAAUCCUACCUCUGUUUUCGCUUCGUCAAUUCCGCCUUCGUAAAAAUUGAAACCGAUGGCUUCAUCUUCGGGUAUCAGAAGGUAUCCUCUGCGUCUUUUACGAGGUUGGGAAAACUCCAAUUCAGAAUAGAAGCAUGAAUCAUAGCUGUUUUUGUCCAAUCUUGAAAUGGUAGGAGUUGAAGUGCACUUGGUCUGCAAAAUAUGUUCACUAUUUUCUGACCAAUCAAUUGGCAGUCAAGAGAAGACAUGAGAUAUGGUUGUUGCUAAAGUGUCUGCCAUUGUAGGGAGCAAGAUGAAUUUGGCUAUGGUGAGUUUUGCGCGUAGUUUUACCUAAAGAUAAUGGUGCGAAGAGAGGUGUGGCCAACAGAAGAUUACGGCUGUCUGUGUGACUCGCACUUUGCCGCAUCAAUGCUCAUGUUUCACAGACGUUCCAUGCAAUCAACAUCUUCAUAUUCCUCCUCUCUAAUUGCAUUUCUAGAUCGGUGGUUCGUGAAGUCAUGGGUUACUGACUUCGAGAAACAAGACAAGGAGACAAUUGAGUUGGCAGAUAUGUACAGCAAGACUUUUAGUGGAGAAUUCCCGGAACAGUUUGUGACCGGUAAGAAGUGGCUUGUAGAUGUCGACAGCUUGUUACUUUGCCACCAUAUUAAUGGAAACCACUGGAUUGCUCUACACAUUGAUUUACACAAGGCGACAAUCUACACAUUGGAUGUAUUUUUCGUGGCUUAAGUGAUAAGAUUAUACCAGCACAAAGAAUGAAGUUGGCAGCUGAGAUCUAUGAAGAGGUGGCAGAGGUUGAUGCGGAACGAUGAUUUAAAUAUUGUAGGACGUGUAAUUUGGAUGAUUUAUUUUAGUACUUGUGAAACUAUUUACUAGAUGUCUAGAUCGAAUGCUCAUCACUUAAGAGGACAUGUUUUAGAAUUGUGUUCCGUCUGGUUACAAAUUCUACAUGUGUUUUUUUUCCUUGGCCG